UUCCGGUUGAUCCUGCCGGACCCUACUGCUAUCGGGGCGGGACUAAGACAUGCAAGUCGUGCGUCUCUAAGCUAUGAUAGAGACGCGGCGUACGGCUCAGUAACACGUGGCUAACCUACCCUUAGGACGGAGACAACCCCGGGAAACUGGGGCUAAUACCUGAUAGGUGAGGAGGCCUGGAAUGGUUCUUCGCUGAAAAGGCGUUGAAACCAUGCUUCUCAACGUCGCCUAAGGAUGGGCCGCGCCCGAUCAGGUUGUUGGUGGGGUAACGGCUCACCAAGCCUAUAACCGGUACGGGCCGUGAGAGCGGGAGCCCGGAGAUGGGCACUGAGACAAGGGCCCAGGCCCUACGGGGCGCAGCAGUCGCGAAAACUCCGCAAUGCGCGAAAGCGUGACGGGGCUACCCCGAGUGCCGUCCGCUGAGGAUGGCUUUUCCCCGGUGUAAUGAGCCGGGGGAAUAAGGAGAGGGCAAGUCUGGUGCCAGCCGCCGCGGUAAUACCAGCUCUCCGAGUGGUAGGGACGAUUAUUGGGCUUAAAGCGUUCGUAGCCGGCCUGGCAAGUCUCUCGUCAAAUCCAGCGACCCAAUCGCUGGGCCGCGGGAGAUACUACUAGGCUAGGGAGCGGGAGAGGCCGACGGUAUUCCCGGGGUAGGAGUGAAAUCCUGUAAUCCCGGGAGGACCACCAGUGGCGAAGGCUGUCGGCUAGUACGCGUCCGACGGUGAGGGACGAAAGCUGGGGGAGCGAACCGGAUUAGAUACCCGGGUAGUCCCAGCUGUAAACGAUGCGGGCUAGGUGUCGGUGUGGCUACGAGCCACUCCGGUGCCGCAGGAAGCUCUUAAGCCCGCCGCCUGGGAAGUACGGUCGCAAGGCUGAAACUUAAAGGAAUUGGCCGGGGGAGCACCACCAGGGGUGAAGCUUGCGGUUCAAUGAGUCACGCCAGA
RNAcentral lists this ribosomal RNA (941 nucleotides) under uncultured archaeon. Its description in RNAcentral is "bacterial SSU rRNA". It matches the Rfam family "Archaeal small subunit ribosomal RNA", at positions 1 to 922 of the family's 1478-position model. The record is from RNAcentral.